Molecule: long non-coding RNA, 1593 nt
Organism: Motacilla alba alba
Lineage: Eukaryota; Metazoa; Chordata; Aves; Passeriformes; Motacillidae
Exons: 5
Source: RefSeq, a predicted model, not a curated record
GGGCGGCGGGCCCCGCCCCCCCGCCGGCCGUGGGCUGACUGUGACGUCAGAGUGGUGCGGGGGGCUCACGGGCGGCGGCGGAGGGGCGCUAUGACGUCACGGCGGCAGAGAGCCAAUCGGGCGGCGGGGGCGGCUCGGGAGCGGCUCGUGCCGCCCGGGGCCCGGGGCCGGCGCGUCCAACAGGUCCCGGCGGGAAGGGCAGCGGGGAGCGGGGAGCGCCCUCGGGCCCUGAGGGCUCUCCGCCCGGCCAUGGCAGCGGGGGGCCCUGUGAAAAACAAUAUGGGACCGUGUAAUUAAAGACUCUCAUAAGGAGGGAUGCUCAGCAGAGGAAGAAAAGUUCUGUCCAUGCUCUCCAGACACUUCUUUACCUUCCCGAGGUCCUGACGGGGCAGAUGUUCGUAUGGCCAACGGGAAGAAACCAGUUUGUUUCUUUCCCUCUCUCACGUAUUCCCUCGUGAUGGAAGAUGACCUUUUAAUUUUUUCCCCCUUGCUCAAAUCUUUACUUCUCUGAAGGACCAAACCCUUGCCUAUGUGUUUUAACACUUUGGAAAAAAACCCAAACCCUAUGAAAACCAGCACAACUGUCAGGGGUAGGAGCUGGCCAGUAUCAUUCUGGGCUGCAGAUGUACUGAGUCCCAGCAUCAUCCUCAUCCUCCUGGAGCAUCUGCGGGUUUGUCAGGAGUGAAGACAUUACCAUUGACCUUACCACUGAGCACUGAUGAAAUUGCUGCUGGACACAUAAGCAAGUGACUGGAUGAAGCUGCUGCUCUGAGAUUCCAACACAGAACUGGUGUGAACACACUCACUUUCUGUUCUGAGGCAUGAUCACGUUACAAACUGGUGUUAGCUUUUGAGGGUGCUUUUGGCAAAAUUCUUAUAGGCUAGAGUGGAAAAAAAUUCUUGGUCCUAUAUGCUAUAUAUUAUUAUGCCCUAUAUUGGGCAUAAUAAUAUAUAGCAAGCAGCUUCUGCUGGAGGACAGUGAUUUUAUAUGAGCUAAUGCUAAUCACAGUAGGGUGAACAAAGUAUAAACUGCAUUAUUUUGCAUUAGUAACUGGAUGCCUUGCUCCUUGUCUGUUCCUACUAUGGUGUGUUUUUGUUGACUUGCUGUACAGAUCACAACAUCUAAUCCUUCAAAACAAUGUGUGGUUUUCCAAAGAAUCAUAAAUCCAUCCUUGUCAAUUGCAGUCUGACAACAAUUUUAUUCUUAAUCUCAGAGCUAGUGGGACUGGGAUUUGGACCUGUCAUAUUACUCAGUAUAAGGGAGCUGGUAGGAGUACAACAUUCUAAUUCCAUGAAGAGUAUUAGGUGUUUUGAUUUAGAGAAUCAGUUAAGGGCAGCAGUUGCAAUCCCUCUUCAGGCUCCAUGCUGCCUAUGCCAUUCUCUUCAAUCACAACCAGUGUAAACUGUUUGAGAUAAUCCUGUUGUUGAGAAAAAACACUGUCUUACUGCUUAGAGCAAACAGUGAAUCAUGUUUUAAAAAAAGAGAUGAGGGAAAGUAUUUUUGUAAAUGCUCUGGUUUGUCUGAAAACAUGUAAUGAAUCUGAAUGGUUGUCAUUACGUGUUGGAAUUUUUUAAGUAUUAAAUCUAUUCAAA